GCUCAGGACGAACGCUGGCGGCGUGCCUAAUACAUGCAAGUCGAGCGGACAGAAGGGAGCUUGCUCCCGGAUGUUAGCGGCGGACGGGUGAGUAACACGUGGGUAACCUGCCUGUAAGACUGGGAUAACUCCGGGAAACCGGAGCUAAUACCGGAUAGUUCCUUGAACCGCAUGGUUCAAGGAUGAAAGACGGUUUCGGCUGUCACUUACAGAUGGACCCGCGGCGCAUUAGCUAGUUGGUGGGGUAAUGGCUCACCAAGGCGACGAUGCGUAGCCGACCUGAGAGGGUGAUCGGCCACACUGGGACUGAGACACGGCCCAGACUCCUACGGGAGGCAGCAGUAGGGAAUCUUCCGCAAUGGACGAAAGUCUGACGGAGCAACGCCGCGUGAGUGAUGAAGGUUUUCGGAUCGUAAAGCUCUGUUGUUAGGGAAGAACAAGUGCGAGAGUAACUGCUCGCACCUGAC
RNAcentral lists this ribosomal RNA (467 nucleotides) under Bacillus australimaris. RNAcentral describes it as "bacterial SSU rRNA". It matches the Rfam family "Bacterial small subunit ribosomal RNA", at positions 22 to 483 of the family's 1533-position model. Lineage: Bacteria; Bacillati; Bacillota; Bacilli; Caryophanales; Bacillaceae. The record is from RNAcentral.